GCAUUAAUUAACAAAUAUAAAACAUUUUCCGUGUUGAUAUACAGUUAUAUCAACACGAGUGGAAUUGGGAAAACGAGAAAUUGUAGGGAAACACGACGCCCGAAGGGCGGAGUGUUUUCAUACAAUUUCGAGUUUUCCCAACUUCCACGAGUGUUGAUAUAACUAUAUAUCAAUACGGAAAAAAUGUUUUAUAUUUUUUUUUAUAAUAUAGCAAUGUCAAAAGCCCGAAGGAUAAGAAAAAUUUCCGUGUUUACAAGCGGCGGAAAAUUUCCUGUGUUGACAUUGAGUUAUAUCAACACGGCUCUUAGCCAAUCAGCGUUCAGAAUUUACAAAUGCUAUAUUAUAAUGCAUGAUAUAAAUGGUUACCAUAUCAGUCUAUUUACCAUAGCGAACAUACCUACAAAUAACGUCCAUCCUAAGGUCACAUGGCCUAUUCCGAAAUGUUUAGAAAACAUAUCGUAGAUCGGUUUCAUUACAUUCAAAUUCACAGUGCUGCCC
Molecule: non-coding RNA, 498 nt
Organism: Paramuricea clavata
Lineage: Eukaryota; Metazoa; Cnidaria; Anthozoa; Malacalcyonacea; Plexauridae
Source: the annotation of a GenBank genome assembly